This 1615-nucleotide long non-coding RNA is filed under the name Apteryx owenii (little spotted kiwi). Its description in RNAcentral is "lncRNA (ENSAOWG00000009284.1)". Lineage: Eukaryota; Metazoa; Chordata; Aves; Apterygiformes; Apterygidae. The record is from RNAcentral.
CUUUCUCUGAUAUUUGCCUGGAGAAGAGAAUGGCGUACCCUGUCCGGGAGCAUGUGCAGAGCGAAACUCCUUUUGCACAGCUGUUCCUGAUUAUGUCAGCUGGCUUUAAAACUUUUGGGAGAGCCUGCCAGUUUGUCAGCUUAUGUUGAAGGUUAAAGUCCAGAUUUCCAGCCAUUUAAAUCAAUGUAGCUACAUGAAAGCCAUGAAGCUCUACCAACUGGCAACAACCAUUUAACUCUUUAUACUAUUCUACUAGGUUUUCUUACCCCCGUCAUCACAGAAGUAUCUGAGAACAUUCUCGUCAAACUAUUCUCUGAUUCUCUCUCCUCAGUGGGACAGUUGUUUAUGCAUGGAGUGUUUUAUUUUGAUAGUAGUUUGCCUGAGCUUGAUUUUCUUUAAUGUGAAUGUUUAUGUAUGUUUAUGGAGAAAGAAAUGUUUAAAAACUUGGUGUGCCCUCAGAGUUUAAGGUGAUGAAAUCUAUGUUGCUUAGCUCUGUGGCCUGAGUUUGAGAAAUGGAACUGCUGACCUUGAGGUUUGUCCUGCAGAAGUCCUAUGCUCAAGCUGAUGGAAAGAAGGACGAAGACCUGAAGCUUUAUUCAGUAGUCUCUUAGGAUGUAACACAGAAAGCAGAAACAGAUGUUUGAUUGGGACUAAUGUUUUAAAAGUGUUAACACAAUUGGUAACACAAACGUACACAUUUCUGAAAAACCUGAAAUGGACUGGGAAUUAUGAGGCAAUUCUACUCUGGUGAAGUCUGCUGUGGUGAUCUGGAAUGUGCAAAUAAUGAGAGGACAGAAGCAGAACAAGGAUCCAGCCUUAUUCAGGCAUGAGACCUUAGGACUUCGAUAGCUGUUUCGCUCUUGUGCAUGACAGAUGUCACAAACGGGGAAUUCAAAGUCCAUUGGCCAGAUCUUCCAAAAGUAUUGGCUCAACUUGUGGAACUUGAAAAGUGACUGAGUCGCAGUCCUGAGAAGAAAUAGUCAUCAUGGCAUGCCUGAACUUCUUUCCAGUCAACAGAUGUUUGCAUGGCUGCUCAUUCAUCUGUCCAGAUCCAUGAGGACUCUUGUAGCACUACAGGAAAGAUGGAUCCCAGUUUGGCAUUUCACUACGGAUUUCUGUGCUGACUGCUGCAUCAACUUCACAGGCGUUUGCCCUUUUAAUGGAGGAGGAACAGGGUGAAGAAAAUCAUGUAGAUCUGGUGCUAGGGAUAAAAGUGCUCAGAAAGUUCAUAAAACAAGUUCAUUAACAGCAAUUAUGUGGGUAAGCUCAUAAGAACAUGUAGCCAUUGCAUGUGGCAGCUCUUUUGUUGUUAUGACUGACAUAAAGUAAUGGCUCUCAAAGGGAUGAUCAUUGUGUUGGUUUUGACAAGUUAAAUUAUUCCGCUGGCUUAUUUGGAUGAGUAAGUUUUCAUUUGGUGAUAACACAUGAAGUCCCUGCUGACUACGGAUGCCCAGGAAGAUUGGUGGCCUAGGAGAAAAAUCCUAGUUUCAUGUUGCCAACAUUUGACAUGACACUGGAGGGACUGGUUAUAGUCAGUACUGGUGACUCACUGCUUUCUUUUCCUAAGGCAUCUCAGCCAAAUAAACCAGCAGUUCUGCUGGAGUUGCUAGAUGCU